AGUGAACGCUGGCGGUAGGCCUAACACAUGCAAGUCGAACGGCAGCACAGUAAGAGCUUGCUCUUACGGGUGGCGAGUGGCGGACGGGUGAGGAAUACAUCGGAAUCUACUUUUUCGUGGGGGAUAACGUAGGGAAACUUACGCUAAUACCGCAUACGACCUACAGGUGAAAGCAGGGGAUCUUCGGACCUUGCGCGAUUGAAUGAGCCGAUGUCGGAUUAGCUAGUUGGCGGGGUAAAGGCCCACCAAGGCGACGAUCCGUAGCUGGUCUGAGAGGAUGAUCAGCCACACUGGAACUGAGACACGGUCCAGACUCCUACGGGAGGCAGCAGUGGGGAAUAUUGGACAAUGGGCGCAAGCCUGAUCCAGCCAUACCGCGUGGGUGAAGAAGGCCUUCGGGUUGUAAAGCCCUUUUGUUGGGAAAGAAAAGCAGCAGGUUAAUACCCCGCUGUUCCGACGGUACCCAAAGAAUAAGCACCGGCUAACUUCGUG
RNAcentral lists this ribosomal RNA (492 nucleotides) under uncultured bacterium. RNAcentral describes it as "partial 16S ribosomal RNA". It matches the Rfam family "Bacterial small subunit ribosomal RNA", at positions 29 to 507 of the family's 1533-position model. The record is from RNAcentral.